Molecule: long non-coding RNA, 230 nt
Filed under: Dromaius novaehollandiae (emu)
Lineage: Eukaryota; Metazoa; Chordata; Aves; Casuariiformes; Dromaiidae
Description: lncRNA (ENSDNVG00000003235.1)
Source: RNAcentral
AGGACAUGCCUUGCUUGUGGACAGACUUGUUUGGAUCCGUUUUGCCCCAAGGGGCUCCAGUCGUUCAGCUUUGCUCAGGCUCAGAGGAUGGGGCCCGGUGUUUGUCAUUAGGACUACGUACACGCAGUUCUGUGGAUUUUGUACUUUUACGGCUGCUCUUUGAUAAUAUCUCUGGAAUUGGGCUCCACCUGYGCCAAAGAAGUGUGUAGUCUAGUGGUUCCCAUCCUUCC